UCCCCGUGGCAAUGGGCAAAGAGGCACCCUGUUGGUGGUGUUGUCCUUAUGUCAGUCAGGGGCAGAGCAGAUGUCAGUCCUUUGUUCAUUCUAGCUUGAAGCCUGGCUUGGUAGCCAAAGCUGUCUUAGGCCUAAGGACUCAUAA
This is a small nucleolar RNA of Arvicanthis niloticus (Nile rat), 145 nucleotides long. RefSeq annotates it as small nucleolar RNA SNORA48. NCBI's taxonomy places the organism in Eukaryota, Metazoa, Chordata, Mammalia, Rodentia, Muridae. The record is from RefSeq and is a predicted model, not a curated record.